This is a non-coding RNA of Heterocephalus glaber (naked mole-rat), 2599 nucleotides long. NCBI's taxonomy places the organism in Eukaryota, Metazoa, Chordata, Mammalia, Rodentia, Bathyergidae. The record is from RefSeq and is a predicted model, not a curated record.
CUCAGAAAAGCAGUGGCCCAGCAGAAAGACUUGAACCCCUUGGGGAUGAAGUGGGACUUCCCUUUGAGAACCCCAGGGGUCCCCCGAGUAAGAGGUUCGGAUGGAUCCUCAGCCAGUUAACCCCAAGUCUUUAGCCUGAAAACACAGGGAAUAGGCUCUUCGGUCGGCACAGUACACCUCAGUACACCAACACUUGCAGGUGACUCCACCAUGCUUUCCGGGUGUGCAGUGUGUGCAGGGACGGGCACUCUGGGGACAGACGUGGUUCUGUCCCCUCCCUGUAGGAGCCGUGGGUUUUCAGUCCCUGGACUCCUUGCAGACAUAUCCCGGGCACCGCACCCUGGGCAGGGUCUCAGACGGCUGUGCCUCGACCUUGGUGGGCCAGCUGACCAGUGACACCUGCUCCGCCACCACCCUGGCGGGGACGCUAAGAAGGAGCCUGCAUGAAGAGACCUGGUCACUUGGUGACCGGAGAGCCCAGAGGGACGCAGAAGAGGGAACCGGGCAGACGGGAGCAUCACAGGACACCACAUAUUCUAGCCACGGUUCAACACCAACAGCUGCUCCGUAACUAGGGAAGUGUUCUCCACAGGAGUGACUCUGCCCUCGGGGCCUUCCCAGGGUCUGGAGACACUCUCCUCACGACCGUGGGGGACCGUGGACAGUCCUGUCCGGGGACACCCCGCAGCGCCACUGUGGGGGAUUAUUCAGCUCCAAACGUCCGUGAUGUUGAGAGGAGAAGCCCUGAUCCGAUCCAGGAGUGUGGCUUCUCUGUGCCGCCCUGUCAGGGACCACAGCGCUGGGGCCACCUCGCGGGACAGGCCACACAACUCCCUGAGCCUCUCUGGUCCCUGUGGACUUCGGCCAGCUGUUUACUGUCCCAGAGUUUCAUUUGUUAAUCGAUAACAUGGGUGUAAGAUGAGCUCCCUUGCACAAUGUGAUGCCACACACACGAAAGCUCUCUGCAGACAGAAGGAAAGCUGUCAGGUGUUCCGGUGGAGUCCCAGGGUCCACCCACCCUCCCGCCCACGGGCUGUGGGAGGGCCCCUCCAGCUCACUUCCGGCAAAUGAAGAGCAGGCGAGCUGAGGUCCGCUGACUGCUGUGCCGUGGUGAGGAGCAGGCCCGGUAUCACCGCGCUGCCUGGCCAGCAAGUGGAGCGGCCCAAGCCUGACCAAAGGCGGAGCCACGCCGCUCCAAGUCCACGGUGGGAUCCUUCCGGCUGCCAGCAGCUCAAGCUAAGGUCCCGCGCACCUGGCUGUCAAGCUUCCCCGGCGUGCCCCAGGACACCGCACGGAACCCCCCACUGGGAAAUGCGUUUCCCCUUCAAGCUUCCAGCCUCAGAUUUGCUCCUCCUCAGACAAACAUACUUCUUAAACUUUAAGAAAAACAAGACUCUCUCGCCAGAAAACUCCAGCCCUUCCUCCUCUGACUGCUCUUCCCGCCCGUCCACUGCCUGUUCUCCAGGCAGGAAGGAGCCUGGACGCCGCCCAGGGAGUUCGCGCGCUCCCCUCCCACCCCCACUUGGCAUUUUCUCCACCGCACACGGGUACAAACCACCACGGAUUAUUUUGACAGGUAAACAAUCAAAAAGACCAAGAACUACCUCGUGCCUCCUGUCUUCACGCUUACGUCCACAGAGCUGCAUGUUUCCUACCCAGACCCCUGACCCUCUCCCACCGGGCCACCUCUGCAUGGCUCCAAGCGCAAGUCUAAGCUCUUCCCCGCACGGGAAUCUAAGGGUGCCAAAGGAAACACACGCACACACGCACACGCAACACGACUAGGCCACUCGGCUUCCUCUGGUACACUCCUUGCUGCAUUAGCUCAUCCUGCUGGGGCUUCCUAACCCCGGUAAGCUCACUUCCGGGUGUGCCUGGUAGUGAUGAUGGGGUGCUCAGCUCUGUGCAGAGACAAGCCAAGUACCCCGCUCCCUGGGUGCACCCGGUAAGUAUGUGGUGAAACAGAUGAGGCAUUUUGUUGUUUUAUGACCAGACACAGCAUGCCACUGUGCAGUCUCUUUAAACGUGAAAUUAUGCUAUGAGUCCCUCCUGGUCACAACAUCACGGGCUCUGGAAAUUUCUAAUACUUGGUUUACGUAACUAGAGGCAAAGCUGAGGGUCUCCCACUAAAACUGAAGUUCAAAUCCACCAGGUGGAGACUUCAACAGGUAAAUUGCCUAGAAAAGCAUUUAAGGCACAGAGACAAAUGCAACAUUCAGUGAGGGCAGUUCAGUGUUUGUAGGAUGCCUACUUUAGGAAAAUGUAUUGUAUUGCCGGGGUACUGACCUAUGAAUGAAUCACGAAGCAGGUGAGCUUGGGGACCUGUGAUACCAGGUAAACUCCGUGCCAAGAGCCCUUCUCCGUGUGUCCCACUAUGUUCUCUCAGGCCCCUCAACUCUGAAAGCCUCUGACCCUGCUCAUAAGAUAUGGGUUACAGCAUUUGAUUGACAGUUCAAUAGAAACAUGAGACACUACCAAAGUAGGGCAGUUAUCAUUACUAACAGAGUAAUGCAAAUGAUGGGGAAUGUACUGUACAAGAUUGGCAUUGGUAAAUUCCUAACACGUGGCUUCAAAUAAAAUUUUUGUUCCAAAUCUGAAA